CCUACGGGUGGCAGCAGUCGAGAAUCAUUCACAAUGGGGGAAACCCUGAUGGUGCGACGCCGCGUGGGGGAAUGAAGGUCUUCGGAUUGUAAACCCCUGUCAUGUGGGAGCAAAUUAAAAAGAUAGUACCACAAGAGGAAGAGACGGCUAACUCUGUGCCAGCAGCCGCGGUAAUACAGAGGUCUCAAGCGUUGUUCGGAAUCACUGGGCGUAAAGCGUGCGUAGGCGGUUUCGUAAGUAGAGUGUGAAAGGCGCGGGCUCAACCCGCGGACGGCACAUGAUACUGCGAGACUAGAGUAAGGGAGGGGGAACUGGAAUUCUCGGUGUAGCAGUAAAAUGCGUAGAGAUCGAGAGGAACACUCGUGGCGAAGGCGAGUUCCUGGACAUUAACUGACGCUGAGGCACGAAGGCCAGGGGAGCGAAAGGGAUUAGAUACCCGUGUAGUC
This 446-nucleotide ribosomal RNA is filed under the name uncultured bacterium. RNAcentral's name for it is "partial 16S ribosomal RNA". It matches the Rfam family "Bacterial small subunit ribosomal RNA", at positions 338 to 795 of the family's 1533-position model. The record is from RNAcentral.